This 200-nucleotide ribosomal RNA is filed under the name Habritys brevicornis. Its description in RNAcentral is "partial 28S ribosomal RNA". It matches the Rfam family "Eukaryotic large subunit ribosomal RNA", at positions 967 to 1162 of the family's 3401-position model. Lineage: Eukaryota; Metazoa; Arthropoda; Insecta; Hymenoptera; Pteromalidae. The record is from RNAcentral.
UUUCCCUCAGGAUAGCUGGCACUCGCUUGAGCGAGUCUCAUCUGGUAAAGCGAAUGAUUAGAGGCCUUGGGGCCGAAACGACCUCACUAUUCUCAAACUUUAAAUGGGUGAGAUCUCUGGCUUGCUUGAACGUUGAAGCCACGAGAUUUGACUAUGAUCAGAGUGCCAGUGGCCAUUUGUAAGCAGAACUGCGCUGUGGA